This 456-nucleotide ribosomal RNA is filed under the name uncultured bacterium. RNAcentral's name for it is "bacterial SSU rRNA". It matches the Rfam family "Bacterial small subunit ribosomal RNA", at positions 28 to 507 of the family's 1533-position model. The record is from RNAcentral.
GACGAACGCUGGCGGCGUGCUUAACACAUGCAAGUCGAACGGGAGUAUUGAAGAAGCUUGCUUUAGAGAUACUUUAGUGGCGGACGGGUGAGUAACGCGUGAGGAGCCGUCCUAUGCAGGGGGACAACAGCUGGAAACGGCUGCUAAUACCCCAUAAGCCGAGAGGUAAAAGGAUCAAUCCGGCAGAGGAGGUACUCGCGUCCUAUCAGCUAGUAGGUGAGGUAACGGCUCACCUAGGCGAAGACGGGUAGCCGGCCUGAGAGGGCGAACGGCCACACUGGAACUGAGAUACGGUCCAGACUCCUACGGGAGGCAGCAGUGGGGAAUAUUGGGCAAUGGGGGAAACCCUGACCCAGCGACGCCGCGUGGGUGAAGAAAUCCUUCGGGAUGUAAAGCCCUGUUGUAUGGGAAGAGCGGAAGACGGUACCAUACGAGGAAGCCCCGGCAAACUACGUG